RNAcentral lists this transfer RNA (84 nucleotides) under Caudoviricetes sp. Its description in RNAcentral is "tRNA-Tyr". It matches the Rfam family "tRNA". From Rfam's summary of the family: Transfer RNA (tRNA) molecules are approximately 80 nucleotides in length. Their secondary structure includes four short double-helical elements and three loops (D, anti-codon, and T loops). Further hydrogen bonds mediate the characteristic L-shaped molecular structure. tRNAs have two regions of fundamental functional importance: the anti-codon, which is responsible for specific mRNA codon recognition, and the 3' end, to which the tRNAs corresponding amino acid is attached (by aminoacyl-tRNA synthetases). tRNAs cope with the degeneracy of the genetic code in two manners: having more than one tRNA (with a specific anti-codon) for a particular amino acid; and 'wobble' base-pairing, i.e. permitting non-standard base-pairing at the 3rd anti-codon position. The record is from RNAcentral. Lineage: Duplodnaviria; Heunggongvirae; Uroviricota; Caudoviricetes.
GGGAGAAUAUACCGUAGGGGUAGCGGGGCUGCCUGUAAAGCAGUUGCCAUUAUGGCUCGGGUGGUUCAACUCCAUCUUCUCCCA